GAAUACAUUGUUGUCUACUUAAAAAUAUAAUAUGAGUAUAUGACUUAUUGUCUUAUUGACUUACUUGAACAGACUUGAUACUUCGCAUUUCGCAAACCCUCAUCGCCUUCAGCCCUCAUUCGCCUGAUCUCAAUUCUCAAGACUCAAACCCUCAAUCUCAUUCUCAUUCUCUCAAAUUCCCUAAUCCCAAACCCUCAGUCCCUCCCUCAUCAGUCAUCACAGAGGCCAACACAACACAGAGGCCAGAUUCUCAAACCCUCAUCGCCUCCCUCGAGCAGUCGAGCUCGACCGUCGACCCUCAGUCCCUCAUCGCCAUCGGCCGACGGCCAUCGCCUUCCUUCGACCGACUGCAGUCACGGACUCACGGCAUCGCCUCCCUCGACCGGUCGACCCUUUUGGGUUUUGUUUCUGCUGUUCUGCAUCAAGUAUUCAAGUCUCUCUCUCUUUACUUCUCUUCUCAGGUAAAAUAAUUACUAAGAUCUACUGAUUUUUCAAUUCUAUUUCCAUGUUUUAGUUAUGUGAAUUAAAACAUGGAAUUGAAAUUAUAUCAAUUAUUUUGGUUAGAUCUAACAAAUCUAUGUUCUAUUUUUACUGAUUAAUUUUAAACCCUCUUCGAUUAGGCAUUGUUUUAAUAUAUGUAUAUGUAAUGUAAGUGCUAAUCUUAAAUUCUUAUGUCCUUUUCUGUUUUCUUUGAUGCCCAGUGUUCCACACUGUUGUUAAUUAUUCAAGUAUUGAUACUGAGAAUUUCUGAAAUUUUCAGUAGAUAAAUAAGUAAAGAAGUUUGAACUAAAAAAGUUGCUGCAUACACACUCUUUCAUUUUGGCCAAGAUCAUGAAUCAUUGCAGUUGUUUUUCUCUCAAAAGCAAAUAGCGGUUCCUUUUAGAUUUAUAAUCCAGCCGACAUAAUUACCUUGUAGAUGUUUGCUGCCUAUUACAGGUAUACCUGAUACAAUUAAUAAUUCCUAAAGUAACCUAUUGUAUAUAUUGAAAAAUUUAAACAAUCUGUACCAAAAAAUUUUAUGGUCUUCUAUGGGUUAUUUCUGUGCAAUUCAUACUUUUUGAAAACAUAUAAUGCAGGGUUGGGAUGUUAAGCAAAAUGAUGGAAAGAUAGAUGUAGAGAUCUUACUUAGGCAUGAAUAAUCUCAAAUGUUGAAAUCUUAAAAUGACAAAUCUUAAAAUGACCAAAAUUAUGGAAAAAUGAAAAACAUUAUCAAAAUCCGGAACAUACGGUGAUGUAAGACAAUAGGAUAAGACACUUUGAUUAUGGCUUAUUGCUCUGCUGCAGACUCUUAUGAUAAUUUGUGGAGAUUAGUUUUCCUUCAAAUAGGGCAAAGAGAACUUUCUUCUUGAGAUCAGUUUUCUUAAUGCAAAUGUUGGUUUGGCCAUUUGUUAGUACUAAUAUAUUUAUUCUUUUUGAUUUGUUGCAGUGACUUGAGCAGUGUCUUACCCCUUGAAUGUUCAACAGCAACAGCAGCAGCUAGCAAGUGGACAAGUGGUAGGAGGUUCAAGCAGCAAAUGGAUUAUGAUUUAUGGGCAGCAAAUGGUCAUUGUAGCAAAUGGGCAGCAACAGCAGUCAGUCAGCAUUUGUUUAUGGAUUGUAUUUGUAGGAACUGAACUGUGUUUAUGUCAGUCAGCAGCAAAAUUAUGUUUAUGUCAGUCAUUGUAGGACUUGUGUUGUUGUUUAUGGAUUAUGUUAAUGGAUUGUAAGAACUGUGUUAUUGUUUAUGGAUUGUAGCCUGUCUGUAGGAAGUGAACUGUGUUGCUGCUAAUUCUUUUCAAUUCGGUUAUUCGGUUAGUACACAAUUUGGUUGCUUAUUCGGGUACCUAAAAUAGCGUUAGUUCGGAUAUCGGUUAUAACCAAAAUUGUGGUUCGGUUCGGUUAUUAACUGAAUGCUCAGCCCUAAUAACUCCAACAGAAAUAAUACCUGAAAGUGACCAUGAUCGAUUAGGAUGAGGCAUAGGGCAAGUAAAAUCAUUGCAAUGUGCCAUGCUACAUUACUUGUAUGUCCUCUUGGUUGUCCAUAACAACAUGCAAUGACAAAACAAAGAACUGCAAGAAAGAAUAUUAAUAGGACUUCUUUUCACUCUGUUGAG
RNAcentral lists this long non-coding RNA (2093 nucleotides) under Panax ginseng (ginseng). Its description in RNAcentral is "long non-coding RNA (PGIN_LNC015483)". The record is from RNAcentral. Lineage: Eukaryota; Viridiplantae; Streptophyta; Magnoliopsida; Apiales; Araliaceae.